AAGCAGAUUGGGUGGGAGUGGAGUUGAAAAGCAAACAUAAGUUAAGAGACUUCUACCUGCUAUCCUUUGCACCGCAGGUGUGCUGACCCCUGCGAUUUCCCCAAAUGCAGGAAAGUCGACUGCAUAAUUUGUAGUAGUGGGGGACUGCGUUCGCGCUCUCCCCUG
Molecule: small nuclear RNA, 165 nt
Organism: Chelonoidis abingdonii (Abingdon island giant tortoise)
Lineage: Eukaryota; Metazoa; Chordata; Testudines; Testudinidae
Gene: U1
Rfam family: U1 spliceosomal RNA
About the family: U1 is a small nuclear RNA (snRNA) component of the spliceosome (involved in pre-mRNA splicing).
Source: Ensembl